CAAGCGGUGGAGCAUGUGGUUUAAUUCGAUGCAACGCGAAGAACCUUACCUGGGCUUGACAUCCCGGGAAUCCCUUGGAAACAAGGGAGUGCCUUCGGGGAACCUGGAGACAGGUGCUGCAUGGCUGUCGUCAGCUCGUGUCGUGAGAUGUAGGGUUAAGUCCCGCAACGAGCGCAACCCUUGUCUUUAAUUGCCAUCAUUGAGUUGGACACUUUAAAGAGACUGCCGGUGUUAAACCGGAGGAAGUGGGGAUGACGUCAAGUCCUCAUGGCCUUUAUGCCCAGGGCUACACACGUGCUACAAUGGGUGGUACAAAGAGCAGCCAGCUCGCGAGGGGGAGCCAAUCCCAUAAAGCCAUUCGUAGUCCGGAUCGCAGUCUGCAACUCGACUGCGUGAAGUCGGAAUCGCUAGUAAUCGUGGAUCAGAAUGUCACGGUGAAUACGUUCCCGGGUCUU
This 455-nucleotide ribosomal RNA is filed under the name uncultured Syntrophus sp. RNAcentral describes it as "bacterial SSU rRNA". It matches the Rfam family "Bacterial small subunit ribosomal RNA", at positions 926 to 1382 of the family's 1533-position model. The record is from RNAcentral. Lineage: Bacteria; Pseudomonadati; Thermodesulfobacteriota; Syntrophia; Syntrophales; Syntrophaceae.